CGUGGGUCCCGUGUUAGAGACCGUCGCCCAACCCCGUCAGGUCCGGAAGGAAGCAGCGGUAAGCGAUUGGUCUCUGUCCACGUCAGGCUCACGAGU
RNAcentral lists this signal recognition particle RNA (96 nucleotides) under Spirochaetaceae bacterium. RNAcentral's name for it is "signal recognition particle sRNA small type". It matches the Rfam family "Bacterial small signal recognition particle RNA". Rfam says of the family: The signal recognition particle (SRP) is a universally conserved ribonucleoprotein involved in the co-translational targeting of proteins to membranes. Archaeal SRP consists of a 7S RNA and homologues of the eukaryotic SRP19 and SRP54 proteins. In most bacteria, the SRP consists of a 4.5S RNA and the Ffh protein (a homologue of the eukaryotic SRP54 protein). Lineage: Bacteria; Pseudomonadati; Spirochaetota; Spirochaetia; Spirochaetales; Spirochaetaceae. The record is from RNAcentral.